GUGGGGAAUAUUGGACAAUGGGGGGAACCCUGAUCCAGCCAUGCCGCGUGUGUGAAGAAGGCCUUUUGGUUGUAAAGCACUUUAAGCGAGGAGGAGGCUACCGAGAUUAAUACUCUUGGAUAGUGGACGUUACUCGCAGAAUAAGCACCGGCUAACUCUGUGCCAGCAGCCGCGGUAAUACAGAAGGUGCAAGCGUUAAUCGGAUUUACUGGGCGUAAAGCGCGCGUAGGUGGCCAAUUAAGUCAAAUGUGAAAUCCCCGAGCUUAACUUGGGAAUUGCAUUCGAUACUGGUUGGCUAGAGUAUGGGAGAGGAUGGUAGAAUUCCAGGUGUAGCGGUGAAAUGCGUAGAGAUCUGGAGGAAUACCGAUGGCGAAGGCAGCCAUCUGGCCUAAUACUGACACUGAGGUGCGAAAGCAUGGGGAGCAAACAGGAUUAGAAACCCUAGUAGUCC
RNAcentral lists this ribosomal RNA (451 nucleotides) under uncultured bacterium. RNAcentral's name for it is "partial 16S ribosomal RNA". It matches the Rfam family "Bacterial small subunit ribosomal RNA", at positions 354 to 796 of the family's 1533-position model. The record is from RNAcentral.